GUUUGGCUAGCUCAGUCGGUAGAGUAUGAGACUUUUAAUCUCAUGGUCGUGGGUUAAAGCCCCAUGCUGUGUGCCAAAUG
This is a non-coding RNA of Arvicola amphibius (Eurasian water vole), 80 nucleotides long. The record is from the annotation of a RefSeq genome assembly. Lineage: Eukaryota; Metazoa; Chordata; Mammalia; Rodentia; Cricetidae.